CCUCCUCCUCGUCCUCAGCCGGCCCCCGCGGAGCCCCGCGCUGCCGUGAGUACGCGCACCGCCCGGCGCGGGAUGCUGCGGGGCCGGCGCGGGGGCUCGGCGGGCUUGCCCCUACCUGAUGGCCACCGCUGCUUGGCCGGCUGCUGCCGCCGCCCCGGGCAGCCUUUCCCUCUUGGGCGAAAGGGAGGGGACCCCCGACGGGCGCCCGUCCUCGGGAAGCCGGCAUGUGCAUCCUCCCACGGGCCCCCGCACCUAAAGCCUCUUCUUCGGUGAGGACGGGGCUUGCGAAGUAAAUUGUCUUCUGGGCAGACAGCAGUCCUGCGCCGAGUCUUCUUCUGAGUUAGGCACCUGUGGAGAGCAAGGCUUCAGGAGAUGCUGUGCGGCAGCUGGAUUUCAUGCUGAAGGCGGCCCUUAGGGAUAAAGUCUCUCCUGAUGUUACUCCCUCCCUAAUAAUGAACAGAGAUGUUGGGGUUCCCUUGGUAUCCACGGCUUGCCGACUGUGGUGGUGACGUUCUGUCCCUGUGAUUUGAUGCACUUCGGUGAUGGUAAUUUGAAGUAAGCACCACCAGCUGAAUGAGUAUAGAAAAGGAUCUCAAACAGGUGGGAAUGUGGAAAGGCAGCAGCAUCUUCAGGCAGGUUGCCAGUGAUACAAAAGACUAAAUGCUUUCACCUGGGACAGAGAGACUGGGAGACAAAAAGAAGUGAUACCAGAAAGCUUCCAAGAAAGUUAAGGUUUGAAGAUACAGAGCAGAAAACGAUGGAUCAAGAUGGAUGUGGUGGAAAGAGGACCAGUUGAAUGACAGGAGGCAGCAUGUCUAAUACAUGUCAAAUGGUGAUGGUUUCCCUGAACCAUCUGCUCCAGCAGAUCAUCAGCCAUCACAUGGCUGCAGGCACCAGGAGUGGUUUUCUGAGGUCCCAUGGUAGCCCCUCACUCUCAGGCAUUUGCCUGGCAGCCCCUCUUCUUGCUGCCCUUGGGAAAUACCUGCUACUUCACCCUCUGCCACCCAGCAAGCUGAGCAUUUGAGAGGAGGUUUGUCAACCAGUGUCCUCCAGCAGCUGUGGGCCACUCCUUGGGAGACAUCUCAUCUCAUCUCACCUCAGCCCAGCUAGCUGCUGCUGGUGGCCACUGUGAAGAGCUUUCAGGGCCUCUCUAAAGACCAGGGGAGAGAGGUGAGCUGUGAGAUAGGCAUCUGCCAGCUCUGCUGUCCCAGUGAUUGAUACCUGGCAAUAAGCACUGCUGGGGAUCAGACCAAAGCACAUACACACUAUGAAAUUCCGUUUUCUUAUUUGGCUUUUGGGUAAACCGGAGACCAAGAUCAGGGAGUGACAGAAGUCUGUACAGGCUUCCUUCCAGCAUGGUGAACGUGAUGCUGAAGACUGCCUUCAGAGGAAACAGUGUUUGAGUUUGUACCCAAAGGUACCCUCAAUGAGGGAAGAAUAUGCAGAAAUGGUUUUAGGAAUACCUUGCUGUUUUCCUCCAUGGAUAGUGCAAUGAAUGGAUAGGAAGUGGUAGUAGUGGUAAGGCUGUGAUGGAGUGGGGAAAAAUUCAAUGUUCUGUUGUCCAAAGAAAAAUGCAUGUGCAUCACCACGGCCCUUGCAUGCCACCACGGUCUAAAAAUUCAGAACUGACUUGUACCGACAUCACUCAUAAGAGUGGCUAAAUGUGUACUUGAUUAACCUUAUUGUCCUACUAACUGAUUAGGCAGCUUAGGGGGACAGCUUCACAGAUAGUAAUAUUUGCUU
Molecule: long non-coding RNA, 1743 nt
Organism: Passer domesticus (house sparrow)
Lineage: Eukaryota; Metazoa; Chordata; Aves; Passeriformes; Passeridae
Exons: 3
Source: RefSeq, a predicted model, not a curated record